UUACAUUAAUUGAUAAAAUAUCAUAUUUGAUUUCGACUCAAAUUUAGGAAAAUCCAAUGUGUU
RNAcentral lists this transfer RNA (63 nucleotides) under Eucoleus annulatus. Its description in RNAcentral is "tRNA-Arg". Lineage: Eukaryota; Metazoa; Nematoda; Enoplea; Trichinellida; Capillariidae. The record is from RNAcentral.